AAGUCGUAACAAGGUUUCCGUAGGUGAACCUGCGGAAGGAUCAUUAACACGUAUCCAAACGUUAAACCCCCCUGUGAACCUUCAGUGUACUCGUACGUCCGUUAGAAAAAGCAGCAAUCCCUGGUAAAUCAUCGCCGAACAGUUUUCGAUUCAGGGACGUCUGCAAGGAGCGUGCAUGUUGUGCGAAGCAAGUGGCCUGGCAUCCCCAAGCAGUUAGUGUCUGAAAGUGUCAUUAACUGUGUAAGGAUGACGCAGUCACGAUCGUUGGAGGCCCACACGGCCGACGACCGGGUCACUGGGCGCAAGCCCCCCUAUAACGCAGUCGACAAAAAACCGAACAACUGUUAACAAUGGAUAUCUUGGUUCUC
RNAcentral lists this unclassified non-coding RNA (368 nucleotides) under fungal sp. RNAcentral describes it as "partial internal transcribed spacer region". The stretch from base 1 to 46 matches the Rfam family "Eukaryotic small subunit ribosomal RNA", at positions 1786 to 1831 of the family's 1831-position model. Lineage: Eukaryota; Fungi. The record is from RNAcentral.